GACAUAGGUGGCGAACGUUAUCCGGAAUUAUUGGGCGUAAAGGGUGCGUAGAUGGUGUAACAAGUUACCGGUGGGAAAUCAAGGCUCAACCUUGUGGAAGUUGGUAAUACUGUUAUACUUGAGUUCAGGAGAAGUUAACGGAACUCCAUGUGGAACGGUAAAAUGUGUAGAUAUAUGGAAGAACACCGAUAAAGGCGAAGGCAGUUAACUAUUCUGUUACUGACAUUGAGGCACGAAAGCGUGGGGAGCAAAAAGG
RNAcentral lists this ribosomal RNA (256 nucleotides) under uncultured bacterium. RNAcentral's name for it is "partial 16S ribosomal RNA". It matches the Rfam family "Bacterial small subunit ribosomal RNA", at positions 524 to 776 of the family's 1533-position model. The record is from RNAcentral.